CCUUAGUUACUCCAUCGAACAUUCAUCACGACCUUAGCACAAUGAACAACAAGUAUACCGUAAUCGCAAUGGUACUAUUAACACUAACUAUUUUUGUACAYAACAGUCAAGGAAUUACAAGUGUUAUGAACGGCAAAAAUAAUGGAAAACGAAGAUUAAUUGAUGGAAAGGAACUCGAAAAGAGYUACCUUCAAAACGAAGCCCUACGAGACAUUUGUUACAUGGCGGAGAAGCUCGAUUGCAGUGAAAUGCUGCGAAAAAAGUCUGCUAAUCUGUAAAACAAUGCACAAAUACAACACUAGAAACUUGUAAUAUUCUUAGCUGAAAGGAUAUUUAAGAGAAUAAUAUUUUCAUUGAACAAAGUUAUAUUUUAGAAAUAAAUGGAAUACCUAAGAAGCGAGCGAGGAUUMUAAUGUCUGCAAUAAAAAUAUCAUUAAAAUCUAA
This is a long non-coding RNA of Exaiptasia diaphana, 444 nucleotides long. RefSeq lists it as uncharacterized. The record is from RefSeq and is a predicted model, not a curated record. The transcript has 2 exons. Lineage: Eukaryota; Metazoa; Cnidaria; Anthozoa; Actiniaria; Aiptasiidae.